RNAcentral lists this ribosomal RNA (509 nucleotides) under uncultured bacterium. RNAcentral describes it as "bacterial SSU rRNA". It matches the Rfam family "Bacterial small subunit ribosomal RNA", at positions 17 to 518 of the family's 1533-position model. The record is from RNAcentral.
UUCUGGCUCAGGAUGAACGCUAGCGGCAGGCUUAACACAUGCAAGUCGAGGGGCAUCGGGAGUAGCAAUACUUGGCCGGCGACCGGCGCAAGGGUGCGUAACGCGUGAGCAACAUGCCCGUAUCAGGGGGAUAAUCCAUGGAAACGUGGUCUAAUACCCCAAUAGUAAUUAUGUAAGGCAUCUUAUAUAAUUUAAAGCUUUGGUGGAUACGGAUUGGCUCGCGUGACAUUAGCUGGAUGGUAAGGUAACGGCUUACCAUGGCUACGAUGUCUAGGGGUUCUGAGAGGAAGGUCCCCCACACUGGAACUGAGGCACGGUCCAGACUCCUACGGGAGGCAGCAGUGAGGAAUAUUGGACAAUGGAUGGAAAUCUGAUCCAGCCAUGCCGCGUGACAGGAAGACGGCCCUAUGGGUUGUAAACUGCUUUUGUAUGGGAGCAAUAAGGGCUACGUGUAGUCCGAUGAGAGUACCAUACGAAUAAGCACCGGCUAACUCCGUGCCAGCCGCCGC